This is a non-coding RNA of Vicia faba (fava bean), 342 nucleotides long. The record is from the annotation of a GenBank genome assembly. NCBI's taxonomy places the organism in Eukaryota, Viridiplantae, Streptophyta, Magnoliopsida, Fabales, Fabaceae.
AUGUUUCUGAGCUUCUUUCUCAACCAGAUUCUUAAAGCAUUUGAAUGUCUCAAAUGUUUCACCUUUUUCCACAAGAAAAUAAAUCCAAGUUUUGCGAGAGUAGUCAUCUACAAACACAAGCAAAUAUCUUUUACCACUAUGAGAGAUUGGAGUGAUUGGGCCACACAGAUCUGCAUGCACCAGAAUUCAAGUUUUUCUGAUGCUCUCCAAUUACUUUUCUUUGGUAUUUUGUCUCGGUGUUGCUUUCCAAUAUUACACACUUCACAAAUCUCUGCAGUUUCCUUGAACUUUGGUAGACCCUUUACCAUUUGCUUCUUUUGCACAACAACAAUAAAAUUAUGA